ACAUCUUCAUCAUCACAUCUUCAUUAUCCACAUUGGAAGGUUGGAGCAUUAACAGCCUGUUUAAGGUCCAUUCCGAGGUCCAUUCAGAGGUCCAAUCAGAGGUCCAUUCAGAGGUCCAAUCAUAGGUCCAAUCAGAGGUCCAAUCAGAGGUCCAUUCAGAGGUCUAAUCAGAGGUCCAUUCAGAGGUCCAUUCAGAGAUCCAAUCAGAGGUCCAUUCAGAGGUCCAUUCAGAGGUCUAAUCAGAGGUCCAUUCAGAGGUUAAAUCAGAGGUCCAUUCAGAGGUCCAAUCAUAGGUCCAAUCAGAGGUCCAAUCAGAGGUCCAAUCUGAGGUCCAUUCAGAGGUCCAUUCAGAGGUCCAUU
Molecule: long non-coding RNA, 360 nt
Organism: Dicentrarchus labrax (European seabass)
Lineage: Eukaryota; Metazoa; Chordata; Actinopteri; Moronidae
Exons: 3
Source: RefSeq, a predicted model, not a curated record